UAUUUAAACUGCUGGAGUGCCCUCACCUGAAUGUGCGGAAGGCAGCCCAUGAGGCUCUGGGUCAGUUUUGCUGUGCACUGCACAAGGCCUGUCAAAGCUGCCCCUCGGAACCCAACACUGCUGGUGAGGAGAGGCUGGGCCAGGCUGGGGGUUCUUGGGGAGGGGCAGGGCCUGACUGGUGCUUCAGCCAAUAAUGUCCCCAGCUUUGCAGGCUGCCCUGGCCCGAGUGGUGCCAUCCUACAUGCAGGCAGUGAACAGGGAGCGGGAACGCCAGGUGGUGAUGGCCGUGCUGGAGGCCCUGACAGGGGUGCUCCGCAGCUGUGGGACCCUCACACUGAAGCCCCCUGGGCGCCUCGCUGAGCUCUGUGGCGUGCUCAAGGCUGUGCUGCAGAGGAAGACAGCCUGUCAGGAUACUGACGAGGAGGAGGAAGAGGAAGAUGAUGAUCAGGUGAGAGCCAGGGAUAAAAACUGGGACCAGGCGGUCCAGGCAGUCUCCACAGGGACAGGGGUGGACAGUGUAUUUGGGCUUGGCCUGGGGCAGCCAGGGCCACUAAAAGAGACUGGUAAUGGCCAGAGGGAUACAACCCUGAUCCCACUAAGCCAGUGGGAGUUCAGGGAAGGAGAGCAGUGUGGACUGGGGUGUGCUUGGAGUGAUAGGUAGGAGCAGAAGAGCCAGGGGAAGAAGCUGGGUCAUGGAAACACCC
RNAcentral lists this small RNA (704 nucleotides) under Pan troglodytes (chimpanzee). Its description in RNAcentral is "retained intron". The record is from RNAcentral. Lineage: Eukaryota; Metazoa; Chordata; Mammalia; Primates; Hominidae.